AAAGAAGUAAACAGAUUGCAUGGAAAUUUGAAGUAAAAAAAAAAAGAAAACGGAAUACAGGGUGCCUCUCCACUCCACAGCACCUGAGUAUGAAAGCUGGGAUGUCCAGAUGAGAAGCUGGGACUGACGGACACAUUCAGUGCUGAAUCAUCAGGUUGGACAAGUCCUGAAACAUCUGUCACAGCUUUUGGUUCUAUUGAAAUAUUUGGUCAGGAAUGUGUCACUGCCUCAAGCUGCAUGCAGGUUCCUUUCAAAUGCCAUGUGCUUCAGCCUGUCUGGCUCCUUCUGGACACUGAUCACCUUUCUACACCAAUUCAGCCUGUCUUUCUGUCUAGUGGCCACAGCAACCACAAGGGACACCUUUACUGAGAAAGCCCAUAGAACCAUUGCCAUUUUCCAGAGAGAAGAGCUGGGGCAGAAUAGUGCUGUACUAUCUCUGACAUGUGAGGCUGCUGGGAGCUAAUUCUCCCCACUAAAUGACCUUACAUGGUUCAGUAACAAUCUGCUGCAGGAAUCACUGACAUGGAUGAUUGUUCUUUGACUUUUAACCUCCAGGUAAUAGAGAUUAAGUGCUACUUGGAUGGAGACAAUAUUUUCUAGUGUUGAAUUUCUAAUAACUACACGACAUGACAUCAUGAAAAAUAACGGAGUUUACAAUAGAAAGCUACUCCUCCUUUUCUCUCUGUUAUAAACUGCAUUUGUCUCUGGAAGAACUUAAUUCAAAUAUAAUGUCAACAGAGUCUUCAAUUCUUUACAUGUUUUUGGAUCAUAUAUACAAAGAAAGAUCAUUUAAUACAUGUGAAGCUAUAUUGUUAUUAUCAAACACUCUGUUAAGUAGAAGACAGAAAUUUUACUCAGGUUAGAUGGCAAAGAAAUUAAUAUUCUAGUUUCCCAACAGUAUAGAAUUUGCUAAAAUCUGGACGUGGCAAAUUAGUCAUUAUAUACAACAGCUCUUUAGCAGCUAAAUGCUUGUUUAUGCUGUAAUCCCAUGUUGCUCUUAUUGAUUGUAUUUCCUUCUACAGUAUAUACUGUUCUUCCUAGAAGUUGUUUAACUUUUUCUCUUUUUAAUAAAUGUAUUAUUUUCUGAAGUCCUGGAUAGUCU
RNAcentral lists this long non-coding RNA (1102 nucleotides) under Dromaius novaehollandiae (emu). RNAcentral describes it as "lncRNA (ENSDNVG00000007312.1)". Lineage: Eukaryota; Metazoa; Chordata; Aves; Casuariiformes; Dromaiidae. The record is from RNAcentral.